This 266-nucleotide ribosomal RNA is filed under the name uncultured bacterium. RNAcentral's name for it is "partial 16S ribosomal RNA". It matches the Rfam family "Bacterial small subunit ribosomal RNA", at positions 793 to 1055 of the family's 1533-position model. The record is from RNAcentral.
GUCCACGCUGUAAAACGAUGAGCACUAGGUGUCGUGGGUAUUGACCCCCGCGGUGCCGUAGCUAACGCAUUAAGUGCUCCGCCUGGGGACUACGGCCGCAAGGUUAAAACUCAAAGGAAUUGACGGGGCCCGCACAAGCGGUGGAGCAUGUGGUUCAAUUUCGACGCAACGCGAAGAACCUUACCUGGGCUAGACAACGGAGGACAGCUCCAGAGAUGGGGUCUUCCCUUCGGGGACCUCCGGUUCAGGUGCUGCAUGGCUGUCGU